Molecule: non-coding RNA, 115 nt
Organism: Triticum aestivum (bread wheat)
Lineage: Eukaryota; Viridiplantae; Streptophyta; Magnoliopsida; Poales; Poaceae
Source: Rfam
AGCUGCGUGAUGAGCACAAAGUGAACUAUUCUUUCACCUUUUAUUAAAGAAUACCGUGUGCACACUACAAUGAGCAGCAUGCGCCAAUUUUUAAAGGGCCCUCUCCCAUGAUUCA